UUCUUGAUUUGUUCAUCGGGUCAACUUUUGGGUAUUUGCACCUUGAUCCUUGAACUUUCACUUUGUGUCAUUUUAGUCCUUUUUCGCGUCUUUUCUCGUGUAUUUCACCAUGUUCAUCGGUGUUGCCUACAAUUCACAAAUGUAACGAAAUUAAGUCACAAUUCAAUCAUUUUAUUCGUAAUUGAGUCAUGUUUGUGACCUAAAUAAGUGUACAAAAACACACUUAUCA
Molecule: long non-coding RNA, 229 nt
Filed under: Olea europaea (common olive)
Lineage: Eukaryota; Viridiplantae; Streptophyta; Magnoliopsida; Lamiales; Oleaceae
Description: long non-coding RNA (OEUR_LNC004423)
Source: RNAcentral